Amphiprion ocellaris (clown anemonefish) is the source of this 5395-nucleotide long non-coding RNA. RefSeq lists it as uncharacterized. The transcript has 3 exons. NCBI's taxonomy places the organism in Eukaryota, Metazoa, Chordata, Actinopteri, Pomacentridae. The record is from RefSeq and is a predicted model, not a curated record.
GAGCAGAGACAGGCAAACAUGUUGGAGUGGGGAGUGAAGAGGGGGGCUGGCCCCUCCUUACUGCUGUAAAAGCAGAAGGGAGAAAAAAAAAAAGGAGGAGGAAGAAAGGAAAUCACAGCCAUACGGGCUAUGCUCCCCCGGCUGAACUGUAUCUGCAUUUUUAACGGUGGGAGAAAAGACACUAUAUGGCGAAGUGCUCCUCCCGCUGCCCUGCCAGGCUCAUCUGUCAGCCAUUAGAUAAUCAGGGCUGGUAACAGAGAGCACAGCGAGCUGGCACAGCGCAUGAGACCAGAGGACAGCUUCACCUCUGAGAGCAGGAGGAGGGCAAGGACUCUGGGACCCCUGCUUCACCGAGCCCCAGCUGGGUGGCUUCACUCACCGGCACCCACUCAGGACUGGCAGACAGCAACCUCCCGCUGACCCCACCCACCGCUUUACUUACAACAGGGAGGUUUCAGAGUCAGAAGUCAAAACAACACAUGUUAUCAACAUGGGAACAGCUGGUAAGAGUGGCGUCAUGGGGCACAGGAAUGUCAAGAGUCAUACAUCUUUUAUCCAUCAGGCCAAAAUAACCACCCAGACUUGGAACCACACACAGGAACAGUGUGAAAUAGUAACAUUUAUAUACAACUCACGCUAUUCAUAGUUAACUUCAGCCACCAGUUUCUAGAAACUAUAUGACAAUUUCAAUUCAACAAAUGCAUAUUAAAAUGUACACAAAUGCCGAAUUUAGGUAUAUUUUGUUUUAUACUAAAACUGCAGUGAUGAAUUACAGAUGUGACAAGUUGAUUCUGCCAUCUUAUUCAUUCAGGAUGUUGCUGAUUGUGUGAUGUGGAAAUAAUUUCCUCUCUCUGGCUGCGCAGUUUUUGACAGACUGUCAGCUGCAGUGAACUGCUGAUUGGCAAAAACUAAACAGCACAUUCUGCACUCCCCAGUAAGAGUUAGCCACCUUUAAAGAGUUAAAUAAACAACUGGUUGAGUGGGCAUACACAGUGUCUUCAGCACGGUUUCCUUUUUCAGUCAACACCACUCAGCAAAGGUACAACAAGAAAUCCUAAAUAAGAAUGAAAUGACAAAACAGCUGAGUUCUUCCAUGUGUCUAAACAUUCUGACACUUUUUUCCAUGACCGUGUUAAAGUCAAACAUCCAGGAAAUGAGUGCUAUACUAAAUACUGGGCAAAAUGAAGAAAUAAGAGAGAAUCAACAGAAUGGAGCAAAUUCUUACUGACGGAACUUAAAAAAUACAAACAGCAGACCAGUUGUGAAGUUAUAAAGCGGUGACCUUUGACACAGGGCAUCCAAGAUUAACUAUGUCUUCCUGCUAAAUGUUACACAGCUGUUUUUCUAAUCUGUCAUAGCAACCAGCCUGCCACAGCUUGCAGAGAGGGAAAUAUGGAAAAGCUCAGUGAAGUGCAAGAUCUUGACCUUGUGUUUAAAAAAACAGAUUAAAAAAAGGAGAAUCUCAUUGUUACUGCACUUUAUCAAGUGUUUACUAAGAUUGUUUAUACAUCCUCUUUUUCCUUUCCCACCAAAAUUCCUCCUUUCACAAUCCUUUAUUUUUUAUUUUUUGCUAACCUUGUGCCUGAUUUCAGCUAAAUCCAUGGAUGGCAUCAAGAGUUGACAAGGCAAAACGCAUCCAUCAGAGGAAAACUCAUCACAAAACCAAGAGAAAUCAAGAGACAAGCCACAAUCACUACCAAGAAAUAGAGGCACUGGGAAUGUUCCCAUCGAGAGCGUUUAGCUAAACCUACAUACAUAAUACAGGGGUCAGUGAUAUGAAAUCCAGCACUUAGUCAGAAAGAAUACUUCUGAAGGAAAUCAUUCCUGCACCAUACAUGUUGUUUAUGUUAGACAGCUUACAUGAAACAAAACUAGAGUAAAUACACCACCAUUCAAAAGUUUGGGGUCACUUAGAAAUGUCCUUAUUUUUGAAAGAAAAGCAGUUUUUUCAAUAAGGAGAACAUUAAAUUCAUCAGAAAUACAGUCCAGACAUUGUUAAUGUGGUAAAUGACUAUUCUAGCUGGAAACAGCUGAUUUUUAAUGGAAUAUCUCCAUAGGGGUACAGAGGAACAUUUCCAGCAACCAUCACUCCUGUGUUCUAAUGCUACAUUGUGUUAGCUAAUGGUGUUGAAAGGCUAAUUGAUGAUUAGAAAACCCUUGUGCAAUUAUGUUAUCACAUGAAUAAAAGUGUGAGUUUUCAUGGAAAACAUGAAAUUGCCUGGGUGACCCCAAACUUUUGAACGGGUUGGGGUUAGGGUGAAUCAAAAAAGCACAUUUUUGAUACACCGACUAAAAAUGUAAACUUCUUUGCAAAACACUUCAGUCUGUUUUCAACAUUUCAGACAAAUUGUGCAUCAGACAAUGUCCGACACACUGGAAUUUUCUCACAUCUGUGGACCAGCGACCCUGCUGACUUGGUCGACGCACAAGCAGAAACAGAUCAGACAGAAGUCACAUGUAUGGUAUAAUACAUGCAGUCAAACAGUGGAGGGUGAGUACAGUUAAAGCACUGGUGGAAAUGUGAUGUAGGGAAGGUACAACAUCACAUAUCAGGAGCCUUUUCUGUCAGCCAGAGUUGAAAUAAAGAACUAUUUGCAAGCUGUUUGUGGAAGGGAGCUAGAAACACCCAAUCUAUCACUGCCUCACCCACAAGAGGGGGAAAAAGCUGCCACAAACUCCAAUUCAAUCCAUCACCUUGAUAGCAUCGACAGGCCUGAACAGCACCCGGCCCCGUUAGGUCUGAGCUUGUAGCCUCAUGCGAGAAGACUAUACAUUGAUCUCAAGUCUUAGAAGGCGACUCCUUGAGGCUUCAAAACACUUAGCAAGAGUUGAGAAAAAGCAGGCGCUCUCUAUCUGUGUCAAAGCGAGGCCGAGUUCCCUGUCAUUGGACGUAGAUCUACCUAAAUGCUUCCAGACUUUCAUGCCCUGUCUCCUCUCAUUUCAUCUCACUGCAUCUGCUCCAAACUCGGAAAAUGCACAAAACAUCUAAGCUUAUUAGUUGGGCUUCUCUCUUGAUUUCCUUCAGUGUCCUACACAAAGUUUACCUGCAUCUUCACCUGCAAUAAAUUGUAAGGAUGCUAAUGCAAGUGCUCCUUCAAAAUAUCUAUAUUACAGUGUGCAAUAUGUUCAACUUUUCUUUAUGCUGUCCAACUGAUUGACCAAAAAGGGACUUCCAUCCCUGACAUAAACGCCGUGCUGUGAUCUAAAUAUUUUGAAUCUUCAGAUAACAUCUCACAGCAUCUGGUUUUCUGCUUCCCAAGUCGCAGUGGUUUGCCAAAAGCUGUAGGCCGCAGUGCUUGACUUCUAACCUGAAAAUCAUCCACUGAACUGUUUUGCUUUCUCUCAAAGGCCAAAAUGAAACAUUAUCUACCAACUCAGUCUUAAAUUAAAGCCACAAACAAGAACCAAAGCUAGGGAACACCGGGAGGGACCUUUUCACACUCGACUGGCACAUGUGCAAUAUCAGGAAACACAGGCCCAGUGAUGUCACAACCAACUGACCUCGAGGUGACGGGUUCGGAGAACGUUCCUGCCCAUUGCCCUCAGGCCAAAGUCAAGUAUGUCAAUGUUGUGCAUGUGGAUUUCAUUUGAAGCAGCAUGAUUAGUUUGCAGACGCUCUGCUGCGAUCCCCCUCCAUGGGAAACACACACUGGACAGGAAACGGUAUGUUUUUGUUAGCAACAAACAGGCAUAAAUUACUAAAAUGGUGCCACGGUUGACAAUUUAUCAAACACAGCCGUAUUGUUGGUUCUUACACACAGCUGACAUCGACGCUGUUUUUAAGGUAAUUACCAUUAGUUAAUGAUAUUUACAUUCCUGAUAGUUUAUGUUGAACUAUGUGCCUGUAUUCUGUCAUUUGUGCAAUAAAUGUGAUAAUUGUUUUGUGUCUUUUCUUUGUUAAAUGCAACAAAUGUGUUUGUGAAAUGAAUACUAUGGUGGCAGUCAUUCAUCAGUUUCUGAAGCUGUCACUGCAAGAUUUUUAAAAAAUGGAAGAUUGCUUUGAGGAGACCGCUCAACUUGACAACAAACUAAAGGGGUUUAUUGGUUUAUUUCCAUUAAUUUUGCCUGAAAAAAAAUUUAUGUUAAAGAAAUGGCACAGUACAUAUGGAAUAAUACAUUUAACUCUAUGGCCAAGAAGAUAUAUAACAAUAUUCACUAAUAUCAGAUAUUUUGGGGACUAUAAAGUGUGUGUAGGUUCUAUUUUCCAAAGAAUAUAUUGAAUAUAUCAAACAACUGAAAGCUACUGCCUCAAACUGAUGCGAUUAAUACUGGGGGUGCAAAAUUUGCUUCUAUGCUAAAUUCUGUUUUGCAUAGUUGGUGUAUUUUUGGUGGACAGUCCAAACCAAAGAGGCCAUUGAAUAAGGUAAGAGUCUCCCUCUGAAGCCAGGAGAAAUAUUUAGACAAUGUUAUGUAAUGCAAAAACAUAAUAAAAUUGAGACCAUUUGAUCCUUCUCUGGUCUCUAAAAGAGAAUCAGCUCCUAAACAUCAACCAUUUCACCAGCACAAUGUGUAAGUUUUGGAUCUAUGAAAUGAUUGAAAAUUUAAAAAAAAGCAGAAUGACCAACUGUAACAUAAGAAGAGGUCACAGAUAGCAUUGAUUUUUGCAUCUGAUUUAAGGUUAAUAAUUUGGUGUAGACUACAAUAUUCCUUUAUACUUCACUGCAGAUGGUAAAUUACAGGUUUUGUUUAAUGGAAUCUACCAAUAUGGUCUAUUAUACGUUACUUGUACCCUGUAGUGAAAUGUUAACUUGAAUUACAAUAUGAUUUGAAUAUACAGCUUGAAAUAACUUCAUAGAUUCUAACUUUCUGUCUUCUGUAUAUACUGGGUUUUGCUUUUGGAUCUCCUCAACUAAACAACCGUUGCCAGCAUGAAUUAAUACCAAUUAUUGCUGUAGUAAGAGCAAUACUCUGUCGGACUCCUGCCAAAUGCAUCACAGAGAGCUCCAUUAAUGCAAUGGUAAACAGAUGUGCCACCCAGCGCCAAGGUUUGAUUUGCACUGUGUAUGUUUUCUCCAGGGAGAUUACAAAAUAAAAUGUUAAAACACAUAAAAGGAAAAGUCCCGCAGUGCUUUUACACUACGCUCUGCCAAGGUAUGUGAAGCACUACAGAUACUAAAGAAGCAGAUUUUCAGCAAGCCCCCCAAAGACUGAAUUAUCAUAGGAAUUACUGAAAAAAAGACUGCUGAAGUCAAGUGAGGGUCAAAUACUAAAUACCCCAUAAUGACCUACAAAUCAAGUGUUUGCUGUGGGCUGUUUACAGUACGUCACCUACAUGAUGUGUAUGUAUUGCAUGCACAUGUUUUACCACAGAAGAUUAGUAUACUGCAAAUAACUGCUGUAGCUGAACAAAAACUGUUAUCCUGUUUCAGUAAUAAAGUAUAUAUUUCAACUUUGA